Galleria mellonella (greater wax moth) is the source of this 1141-nucleotide long non-coding RNA. RefSeq lists it as uncharacterized. The transcript has 3 exons. The record is from RefSeq and is a predicted model, not a curated record. Lineage: Eukaryota; Metazoa; Arthropoda; Insecta; Lepidoptera; Pyralidae.
GCAAGAAAUGUAGCUGUUAUCAAGUUUAUUUUCCGUUUAGCAUGUUAUUCGCAAUAACUACAGAUAAUGCUUACACUUUCGAGGCCAUAUAUUGUAGAAAAAGUUACAUUGAAUUUUGAUUCUUGAUGAGUUUUCCAAAACGUCUCAGGUGUAAAUUUUCAAAACAUGUUCUUAAAAUAUAUGUUUUUGUUCCAGUUAAAACACACAUAUAUAUAUAAUGAUGUUGUGCUGUAAAAGAGUUUGAUUAAGACAGAUAAGAGAAGACAAAAAAACAUGAAAAUAACACGACAAACAAGUUACCUUUAGUAGCGACGGCUGUUGGGUUUACAGACAUUAUUACAGCAUUAAAGGUUCUUGUUUACUCAAACCACUCAAUGUUUAUAACACCGUCACAUUAUUUCACAAGCGUAUAUAUAUAUAUAUAUAUAUAUAUAUAAUUUACUGACAAUCCUUUAUGGUUACGAUUGCCCAAAAACAAUUACUACAAGCCUCAUCUAAUUACGAUAGCAUAUUGGAAUUUACUGACGACGCCGGUAUGCCGUAUACAAUUAACGAAGGCUCAGUGACAUUUUAUGAAUAAUCUAUACGAGAAAUUCAAUUAAAUCAAUUAUUCGCUCGGAGAAAAGCGAUCGUCAUUAAAGAUUCCAUAUAGAGGUAGAAGCGCGGUCAAGGAGCGCCGAGUCGACGCGAGAUCCUGCCUCCGACUGGCCAGCGUUGCCCGUGCCGCGCCGCCUGCCAGCGUGGGGUGGCCGGGGUGGGCGCGCACCGGCGGCAGGGGGCAGGAAGCACAGCCUCCAACCAGUAAUAAUUAUUAACACAAUACAAAAGAAGCCAAUGUACAUGGAAAUGUAAGCAAACACAUUACGAGCAGGCAACAAACGUAUCAAAAUAAGAACUUGAAGCUCAAGGCCACCUACAGAAAAGUGACAAACAAGCAGCACUCCGCCAGAUAUACAUACAUCUGGUAUAUCUAUAUUAAAUGCGAGUAGGAUCAUCUGCCGAAGGCCGGAAACCCGAAGACCACGAAGGACCAUAGGACGUUUAUACUAUAUUACUCCUUAGUAAACGCAUCUUUUGUAUGUACGCUUUGCAAAAACUUUUUAAGCGUCCGAUUAAAGUGUUCACUUAUUCGUUUUUAAUU